This 429-nucleotide ribosomal RNA is filed under the name Chloroflexota bacterium. Its description in RNAcentral is "Chloroflexi bacterium partial 16S ribosomal RNA". It matches the Rfam family "Bacterial small subunit ribosomal RNA", at positions 355 to 776 of the family's 1533-position model. The record is from RNAcentral. Lineage: Bacteria; Bacillati; Chloroflexota.
UGGGGAAUAUUGCACAAUGGGCGCAAGCCUGAUGCAGCCAUGCCGCGUGUGUGAAGAAGGCCUUCGGGUUGUAAAGCACUGUCAGCGGGGAGGAAGGCGUUAAGGUUAAUAACCUUGGCGAUUGACGUUACCCGCAGAAGAAGCACCGGCUAACUCCGUGCCAGCAGCAGCGGUAAUACGGAGGGUGCAAGCGUUAAUCGGAAUUACUGGGCGUAAAGCGCACGCAGGCGGUCUGUCAAGUCGGAUGUGAAAUCCCCGGGCUCAACCUGGGAACUGCAUUCGAAACUGGCAGGCUAGAGUCUUGUAGAGGGGGGUAGAAUUCCAGGUGUAGCGGUGAAAUGCGUAGAGAUCUGUAGGAAUACCGGUCGCGAAGGCGGCCCCCUGGACAAAGACUGACGCUCAGGUGCGAAAGCGUGGGGAGCAAACAGG